This 496-nucleotide ribosomal RNA is filed under the name uncultured bacterium. RNAcentral describes it as "partial 16S ribosomal RNA". It matches the Rfam family "Bacterial small subunit ribosomal RNA", at positions 28 to 507 of the family's 1533-position model. The record is from RNAcentral.
GAUGAACGCUGGCGGCGUGCCUAAUACAUGCAAGUAGAACGCUGAAGGAGGAGCUUGCUCUUUCCGGAUGAGUUGCGAACGGGUGAGUAACGCGUAGGUAACCUGCCUGGUAGCGGGGGAUAACUAUUGGAAACGAUAGCUAAUACCGCAUAACAGUAGAUAUUGCCUGAUAUUUGCUUGAAAGGGGCAAUUGCUCCACUACCAGAUGGACCUGCGUUGUAUUAGCUAGUUGGGGAGGUAACGGCUCACCAAGGGGACGAUACAUAGCCGACCCGAGAGGGUGAACGGCCAAACUGGGACUGAGACACGGCCCAGACGCCUACGGGAGGCAGCAGGAGGGAAUCUUCGGCAAUGGACGGAAGUCUGACCGGGCAACGCCGCGUGAGGGAAGAAGGUUUUCGGAUCGUAAAGCUCUGUUGUAAGAGAAGAACGAGUGUGAGAGUGGAAAGUUCACACUGUGACGGUAUCUUACCAGAAAGGGACGGCUAACUACGUG